ACCUUGAGGAAUAGAAAUCAACCGAGAUUCCCUUAGUAGCGGCGAGCGAAACGGGAGUAGGGCGGUUAGUGAUAAUAUAUUAGUUAGAUGAACACUCUGGAAAGUGUGAGCAAAGAGGGUGAUACUCCCGUAAUCGAAAACUUUUAUAUGGUACUAGACUAACGAACGAGUAGGACGGGACACGUGUUAUCUUGUCUGAAUAUGGGGGGACCACCCUCCAACCCUAAAUACUACUACCAGACCGAUAGUGAACCAGUACCGUGAGGGAAAGGUGAAAAGGACCGCGGUGAGCGGAGUGAAAUAGAACCUGAAACCUAUGGCUUACAAUCAUUUGGAGCACUAUUAUAUAUAAGUGUGACAGACUGCCUUUUGCAUAAUGAGCCUGCGAGUUGUGGUAUCUGGCAAGGUUAAGCGAACGCGAAGCCGUAGCGAAAGCGAGUCUUAAUAGGGCGAAUUAGUCAGAUGCUGCAGACCCGAAACUGAGUGAUCUAUCCAUGAGCAGGUUGAAGCUGGUGUAAGAGCCAGUGGAGGACCGAACCCGUAGGCGUUGAAAAGUCUUGGGAUGACUUGUGGAUAGGGGUGAAAGGCCAAUCAAACUCAGUGAUAGCUGGUUCUCUCCGAAAUAUAUUUAGGUAUAGCCUCGAGCAUUAGCAUACAGGGGUAGAGCACUGACAGGGCUAGGGCUGCUUACCGCGGUACCAAACCCUAUCAAACUCCGAAUACUACAUGUGUAACCUCGGGAGUCAGGCGUAGGGUGAUAAAAUCCUAUGUCGAGAGGGGAACAACCCAGACUAACAGCUAAGGUCCCAAAGUUAAUGUUAAGUGGAAAACGAUGUGGAGUUACUGUGACAACCAGGAGGUUGGCUUAGAAGCAGCCAUCCUUUAAAGAAAGCGUAACAGCUCACUGGUCUAGCGAUUCUGCGCCGAAAAUAUAACGGGGCUAAGAUAAACACCGAAGCUUUAGAUGUGUAUUUAUACACGUGGUAGGAGAGCGUUCCAUUCAGCGUUGAAGGUAUACCGGUAAGGAGUACUGGAGCGGAUGGAAGUGAGCAUGCAGGCAUGAGUAGCGAGAAAAGAAGUGAGAAUCUUCUUCGCCGAAAACCCAAGGUUUCCUACGCGAUGCUCGUCAUCGUAGGGUUAGUCGGGACCUAAGUCGAGUCCGAAAGGGGUAGACGAUGGCAAAUAGGUUAAUAUUCCUAUACCGACAUAUCAUCAUUUGAGUGAUGGGGGGACGCAUAGAGUUAAACGAGGUCACUGAUGGAAUAGUGGCUCGAAGGGUGUAGGUUGUGAGGUAGGCAAAUCCGCUUCACAUUCGACCGAGACCUGACAGGCUAAACAAUCUCUUCGGAGAGCGUUUAGAAUCGUUGAUACUGUCGUGCCGAGAAAAGCCUCUAAACGAGAUGGUAUGUUGCCCGUACCGUAAACCGACACAGGUGGGUGAGAUGAGUAUUCUAAGGCGCGUGGAAGAACCCUGGUUAAGGAACUCUGCAAACUAGCACCGUAUCUUCGGUAUAAGGUGUGCCUACUUUUGUAUAAGAACUUGCUUCUGAAAGCUAAAGAGGUUGCAACAAAGAGUCCCUCCCGACUGUUUACCAAAAACACAGCACUUUGCUAACACGUAAGUGGAUGUAUAAGGUGUGACGCCUGCCCGGUGCUCGAAGGUUAAUUGAUGAUGUUAGCUCUGCGAAGCAUUUGAUCGAAGCCCGAGUAAACGGCGGCCGUAACUAUAACGGUCCUAAGGUAGCGAAAUUCCUUGUCGGUUAAAUACCGACCUGCAUGAAUGGCGUAACGAGAUGGGAGCUGUCUCAACCAGGGAUCCAGUGAAAUUGUAGUGGAGGUGAAAAUUCCUCCUACCCGCGGAAAGACGGAAAGACCCCGUGCACCUUUACUACAGCUUGACACUGUAGCUUGGAUAUUCAUGUGCAGGAUAGGUGGGAGACUAUGAUUACUAGACGCCAGUAGAGUAGGAGUCACCCUUGAGAUACCACCCUUGAAUAUUUGAGUUACUAACUCCGUACAGUUAUCCUGUGCGAGGACAAUGUCUGGUGGGUAGUUUGACUGGGGCGGUCGCCUCCUAAAAAGUAACGGAGGCUUACAAAGGUUGGUUCAGGUGGGUUGGAAAUCCACCGUAGAGUAUAAUGGCAUAAGCCAGCCUGACUGUGAGACAUACAAGUCGAGCAGAGACGAAAGUCGGUCAUAGUGAUCCGGUGGUUCUGUGUGGAAGGGCCAUCGCUCAAAGGAUAAAAGGUACGCCGGGGAUAACAGGCUGAUCUCCCCCAAGAGCUCACAUCGACGGGGAGGUUUGGCACCUCGAUGUCGGCUCAUCGCAUCCUGGGGCUGGAGCAGGUCCCAAGGGUAUGGCUGUUCGCCAUUUAAAGCGGUACGCGAGCUGGGUUCAGAACGUCGUGAGACAGUUCGGUCCCUAUCUUCCGUGGGCGUAGGAAAGUUGAGGAGAUUUGUCCCUAGUACGAGAGGACCGGGAUGAACGUACCACUGGUGUACCAAUUGUUCUGCCAAGAGCAUCGUUGGGUAGCUAAGUACGGAUGUGAUAAGAGCUGAAAGCAUCUAAGCUCGAAGCCAACUCCAAGAUGAGCUUUCCCUUAAGAUCCCAGUAAGACUAACUGGUUGAUAGGCUAGAUGUGUAAGCGUAGAAAUACGUUCAGCUGACUAGUACUAAUAGAUCGAUUGGCUUAUUU
This 2696-nucleotide ribosomal RNA is filed under the name marine sediment metagenome. RNAcentral's name for it is "bacterial LSU rRNA". It matches the Rfam family "Bacterial large subunit ribosomal RNA". The record is from RNAcentral.